This 1419-nucleotide long non-coding RNA is filed under the name Arabidopsis thaliana (thale cress). Its description in RNAcentral is "long non-coding RNA (ATHA_LNC000119)". Lineage: Eukaryota; Viridiplantae; Streptophyta; Magnoliopsida; Brassicales; Brassicaceae. The record is from RNAcentral.
UUUCACUCUCUGUAAUCACACCACACUUCGUACUCUCCCUCUGAGAAAGACCCUUGUCACCAAAACCCAAUUUUCAGUUCCCACAAAAUCAUCAGAAUCUAACUUCUUUGGCUCCACACUCACUCACUCAUCGUAUAUCUCCCCAGUCUCUUCCUCUUCUCUCAAAGGCUUAAUCUUUGCCAAGGUACAUUUCUCGACUCUUGCAUUGAUAGAUUGUUUGCUACAGUUGGGUAACAACUAGUUCUGGGAAUUAGCUUCUUUGUUAGACCAAUGUUUUUUGGACAAUCUAAGUUCUGUUCCAUUUCUUUUUUAUAUGUUUUUGAGUAUUACGAUAUAAAUAUUAGCAAGACAAUAGAUUGUUAGAUACACAGCCAUUUUUGAAUAAGAAACAAAAGAUGUAAAUAUUGGGUUUUAAGUCUGAAUUUAAAUGUUAUAAGAACAGAUUUAUGAAUGUGUUAGUGCAGAAUCAAAGACAAAAUCAAAGAAACUUGUAAUCAGUGUUUGUUUUAGAGACCAUAAACUUUCACAUACCUGAAAAUAAGCAAAUGCUAGAAUGUUCUUGAAUAUGUUCAAUCCUUUAUUCAUAUGAUUUAAGCUGACACGGCAUAUGAACUCUCUUUAACCUUCUGUGAAUUGGUCUCUUUGUGAUGUUUGGUGGGCAGCAGGUUAACAAGGGUCAGGCUGCACCAGACUUCACACUAAAGGAUCAAAACGGAAAGCCGGUGAGCCUCAAAAAGUAUAAAGGGAAGCCUGUUGUUCUCUACUUCUACCCUGCAGAUGAAACCCCUGGCUGCACCAAGCAGGUUGUUAAAUCUUUACUUUCUCCUCCUUCCCGCAUUCAUUGAUCGCAUAUUUAGUGUUUCUAAACGUAAAUGGUUUUACUUGUGUACAACAGGCUUGUGCUUUCAGAGACUCUUAUGAGAAAUUCAAGAAAGCUGGUGCAGAGGUCAUUGGCAUUAGUGGAGAUGACUCUGCUUCUCACAAGGUACACACAUCAAAAAUCUCUGGUUUCUUGAAUAAACCCAUUUCUUUUUUCCGGAUUUUAAAGAGAGUGGUGGGACUUUAAACAUUGUUGCAGGCGUUUGCAAGCAAAUACAAACUACCGUAUACAUUGUUAAGCGACGAAGGGAAUAAGGUGAGAAAAGAUUGGGGAGUGCCUGGAGACCUGUUUGGAGCAUUGCCAGGGAGACAGACUUACGUUCUUGACAAAAACGGUGUUGUUCAGCUCAUCUACAACAACCAGUUCCAGCCUGAGAAACACAUCGACGAGACCUUGAAGUUUCUCAAAGCUGCUUGAUCAUUCUCUCUUUCUCUUCUUUCUCUUCUUUCAUGCAUGUCUCAUGUCUGUCUCCAUGAGACCAUGACCUUCUUAUAUUGUUUCUGUUGAGUAUGAAUUUUCAAUAAUACCAUGUUAUACCA